Molecule: transfer RNA, 76 nt
Filed under: Desulfovibrio sp.
Lineage: Bacteria; Pseudomonadati; Thermodesulfobacteriota; Desulfovibrionia; Desulfovibrionales; Desulfovibrionaceae
Also listed under: 6 other names
Description: tRNA-Asn
Rfam family: tRNA
About the family: Transfer RNA (tRNA) molecules are approximately 80 nucleotides in length. Their secondary structure includes four short double-helical elements and three loops (D, anti-codon, and T loops).
Source: RNAcentral
UCCCCAAUAGCUCAAUCGGCAGAGCGGGUGACUGUUAAUCACUAGGUUGGCGGUUCAAGUCCGUCUUGGGGAGCCA